UACGUAGGGGGCUAGCGUUGUCCGGAAUCAUUGGGCGUAAAGCGCGCGUAGGCGGCCCGGUAAGUCCGCUGUAAAAGUCAAAGGCUCAACCUUUGAAUGUCAGUGGAUACUGCCGGGCUAGAGUCCGGAAGAGGCGAGUGGAACUCCUGGUGUAGCGGUAGAAUGCGCAGAUAUCAGGAAGAACACCUAUGGCGAAGGCAGCUCUCUGGGACGGUACUGACGCUGAGACGCGAAAGCGUGGGGAGCGAACAGG
RNAcentral lists this ribosomal RNA (253 nucleotides) under uncultured bacterium. RNAcentral describes it as "partial 16S ribosomal RNA". It matches the Rfam family "Bacterial small subunit ribosomal RNA", at positions 524 to 776 of the family's 1533-position model. The record is from RNAcentral.